UGAAUUUGAAAUCCACUAUUCACUUCGAAAUCCACUAUUUAAUGUCGCGUGUGUAUUCAAAAACCACUAUCACCCCUCCUCUAUUGCUCGCGCCUGCAUCAGAUAUAUUUUGUUUGAAAUCCACUACAAAUUCAUCAAAAACACUACAAAAAUAUAGAAAUUCAUUACAAAAAAUCCACUUUACAAAGAGAAAAUCCACUAAAAACUUGCCUAAAUCCACUACAAAAGUCCCCUUUAAUAAACAAUGUCAUCGCAUACAAUAGUAGAUUCACCCGGGCAUCACCCAACCUCGUCUCACUUGUUGCCAUCACUCCUUGUGCAAGAACCUGAAUCAAAGAAAAAGAAGACAAACAACGUUUAAAUUUAAUUCAUUCAAAACAAAAUCGGUCUACAAAGCAAAAAAUUUAAAUCUACUACAAUAUCAUCCAAGCCCACUACAAAAAAUAUCGAAAUCCACCAAAAUAUUAGCAUAAUCCACUAUGAAAUUAACCUAAUCACUACAAAACAAUUACAAAAAUAUUAAUGUAAUCCACUACGAAAUUAAACUAAUUCACUACGACAAAUCCCUUUUUUCAAAGACAAAAUUGAGUUCAAUUAUAUCGAAAUUCACUAAAAUAGUAACGUAAACCACUACGGAAUUAACCUAAUCCACUACAACAAAUCACCUUUUCAAAGAAAAAAGUUAAUUCAAAAUAAGAAUUACAAUCUAAUUACAAUCAAAUUAUUAUUUUUAGUUGAAAAUCAUGAUUGUUCAUAGUUCAAGUCAAUAUCUCCAAAUUUGUGCGUUCCAAUUGAAUACGAUAUUAAAUUAUAUUAUUAUUGAAAAUUGUGCGUUCCAAUUUAUUGAAUAAAAAAAGAUUCAAUUAAAAUUGAAAGGCUCUGAAAAUCAAGUAAAAAAAUAGAACAAGAAAUAAUUAAAAUUCUCUAUACUUUUCAAAUUAUCCGUACAUCUCGUCAAUCCCAUCGCAAAAAAAAACACAGGAUCU
RNAcentral lists this long non-coding RNA (986 nucleotides) under Erythranthe guttata (spotted monkey flower). RNAcentral describes it as "long non-coding RNA (EGUT_LNC001195)". Lineage: Eukaryota; Viridiplantae; Streptophyta; Magnoliopsida; Lamiales; Phrymaceae. The record is from RNAcentral.